This 891-nucleotide ribosomal RNA is filed under the name uncultured bacterium. Its description in RNAcentral is "bacterial SSU rRNA". It matches the Rfam family "Bacterial small subunit ribosomal RNA", at positions 8 to 916 of the family's 1533-position model. The record is from RNAcentral.
AGAGUUUGAUCCUGGCUCAGGACGAACGCUGGCGGCGUGCUUAACACAUGCAAGUCGAGCGGUAAGGCUCCUUCGGGAGUACACGAGCGGCGAACGGGUGAGUAACACGUGAGCAAUCUGCCCUUCACACUGGGAUAACCCCCGGAAACGGGAGCUAAUACCAGAUAUGACCACUUCCGGCAUCGGAUGGUGGUGGAAAGUUCCGGCGGUGAAGGAUGAGCUCGCGGCCUAUCAGCUUGUUGGUGAGGUAACGGCUCACCGAGGCUUCGACGGGUAGCCGGCCUGAGAGGGUGACCGGCCACACUGGGACUGAGACACGGCCCAGACUCCUACGGGAGGCAGCAGUGGGGAAUAUUGGACAAUGGGCGAAAGCCUGAUCCAGCAACGCCGCGUGAGGGAUGACGGCCUUCGGGUUGUAAACCUCUUUCAGCAGGGACGAAGCGCAAGUGACGGUACCUGCAGAAGAAGCACCGGCCAACUACGUGCCAGCAGCCGCGGUAAUACGUAGGGUGCGAGCGUUGCCCGGAAUUAUUGGGCGUAAAGGGCUCGUAGGCGGUUUGUCGCGUCGGGAGUGAAAACUCGGAGCUUAACUCCGAGCCUGCUUCCGAUACGGGCAGACUAGAGGUAUGCAGGGGAGAACGGAAUUCCUGGUGUAGCGGUGAAAUGCGCAGAUAUCAGGAGGAACACCGGUGGCGAAGGCGGUUCUCUGGGCAUUACCUGACGCUGAGGAGCGAAAGUGUGGGGAGCGAACAGGAUUAGAUACCCUGGUAGUCCACACCGUAAACGUUGGGCGCUAGGUGUGGGACUCAUUCCACGAGUUCCGUGCCGCAGCUAACGCAUUAAGCGCCCCGCUGGGGGAGUACGCCGCAGGCUAAACUAAUGAAUUGACGA